GAUCAUGGCUCAGGAUGAACGCUAGCUACAGGCUUAACACAUGCAAGUCGAGGGGCAUCAGGAAGAAAGCUUGCUUUCUUUGCUGGCGACCGGCGCACGGGUGAGUAACACGUAUCCAACCUGCCCUUUACUCGGGGAUAGCCGUUUCGAAAGAAAGAUUAAUACCCGAUGGCAUAAUGAUUCCGCAUGGUUUCAUUAUUAAAGGAUUCCGGUAAAGGAGUAGGGGAUGCGUUCCAUUAGGUUGUUGGUGAGG
This 253-nucleotide ribosomal RNA is filed under the name uncultured bacterium. RNAcentral describes it as "partial 16S ribosomal RNA". It matches the Rfam family "Bacterial small subunit ribosomal RNA", at positions 15 to 257 of the family's 1533-position model. The record is from RNAcentral.